RNAcentral lists this ribosomal RNA (512 nucleotides) under Hypoatherina golanii (Red Sea silverside). Its description in RNAcentral is "partial 16S rRNA". It matches the Rfam family "Bacterial large subunit ribosomal RNA", at positions 1942 to 2607 of the family's 2925-position model. Lineage: Eukaryota; Metazoa; Chordata; Actinopteri; Atheriniformes; Atherinidae. The record is from RNAcentral.
UUGACCGUGCAAGGUAGCGCAAUCACUUGUCUUUUAAAUGAAGACCUGUAUGAAUGGCAUCACGAGGGCUUAACUGUCUCCUUUUUCCAGUCAAUGAAAUUGAUCUCCCCGUGCAGAAGCGGGGAUAGGCCCAUAAGACGAGAAGACCCUGUGGAGCUUUAGACAAGAGUGCGAACCAUGUCAAUAACCUCUAAACAAAGAGAAAAACCUAUUGGACCCCGCACUAAUGUCUUUGGUUGGGGCGACCGCGGGGGAGAGAGCAUCCCCCAUGUGGAAUAGAAGCACCGCUUCUACAACCGAGAGCUGCAGCUCUAAGCAACAGAAAUUCUGACCCUCAUGAUCCGGCAGCGCCGAUCAACGGAACGAGUUACCCCAGGGAUAACAGCGCAAUCCUCUUUUAGAGCCCAUAUCGACAAGGGGGUUUACGACCUCGAUGUUGGAUCAGGACAUCCUAAUGGUGCAGCCGCUAUUAAGGGUUCGUUUGUUCAACGAUUAAAGUCCUACGUGAUCUA